UGCUGGUUAGCUGGGUUGGUUAGAGCGUUGUGCUCAUAACGCCAAGGUCACUGGUUCAAUCCCCAAACAGGCUA
Podarcis lilfordi (Lilford's wall lizard) is the source of this 74-nucleotide non-coding RNA. The record is from the annotation of a GenBank genome assembly. NCBI's taxonomy places the organism in Eukaryota, Metazoa, Chordata, Lepidosauria, Squamata, Lacertidae.